AUGUCUUCCUCCUCGGGCGUAUCUCACCCUAGCCUCAGUGGGCAGGUGAUCGAGAAACUCUCCCACACGAAUUACGUGCUAUGGCGCACACAGAUCACACCACAACUUCAUGGCGCCGGUGUCUUCCAAUAUGUUGAUGGCACCUCGCCGGAGCCGACCAAGCUUCAAGCCGCCAAGGACAAGGACGCCAAGGACACUUUUGUGCCCAACCCUCUCCACCCCAUCUGGGUACGGGAGGACCAGCAGGUGCUUGGCUUCCUGCUGAGCAACCUCUCCAAAGAGGUGCUUGUCACGGUGACCACGGUC
Molecule: ribosomal RNA, 306 nt
Filed under: Triticum aestivum (bread wheat)
Lineage: Eukaryota; Viridiplantae; Streptophyta; Magnoliopsida; Poales; Poaceae
Description: partial small subunit ribosomal RNA
Source: RNAcentral